GGGGAAUAUUGCGCAAUGGGGGGAACCCUGACGCAGCCAUGCCGCGUGAAUGAAGAAGGCCUUAGGGUUGUAAAGCUCUUUCGGUAUUGAGGAAGGUUGAUGUGUUAAUAGCACAUCAAAUUGACGUUAAAUACAGAAGAAGCACCGGCUAACUCCGUGCCAGCAGCCGCGGUAAUACGGAGGGUGCGAGCGUUAAUCGGAAUAACUGGGCGUAAAGGGCACGCAGGCGGUUAUUUAAGUGAGGUGUGAAAGCCUCGGGCUUAGCCUGGGAAUUGCAUUUCAGACUGGGUAACUAGAGUACUUUAGGGAGGGGUAGAAUUCCACGUGUAGCGGUGAAAUGCGUAGAGAUGUGGAGGAAUACCGAAGGCGAAGGCAGCCCCUUGGGAAUGUACUGACGCUCAUGUGCGAAAGCGUGGGGAGCAAACAGGAUUAGAUACCCUGGUAGUCCACGCUGUAAACGCUGUCGAUUUGGGGGUUGGGGUUUAACUCUGGCGCCCGUAGCUAACGUGAUAAAUCGACCGCCUGGGGAGUACGGCCGCAAGGUUA
This 546-nucleotide ribosomal RNA is filed under the name uncultured bacterium. Its description in RNAcentral is "bacterial SSU rRNA". It matches the Rfam family "Bacterial small subunit ribosomal RNA", at positions 356 to 896 of the family's 1533-position model. The record is from RNAcentral.